Molecule: non-coding RNA, 433 nt
Organism: Maylandia zebra (zebra mbuna)
Lineage: Eukaryota; Metazoa; Chordata; Actinopteri; Cichliformes; Cichlidae
Source: RefSeq, a predicted model, not a curated record
UACACCACCAGUAAGGCAAACUGGGACAAAAAAAAUCCAACCAAAGAGUUCACCUGCCGUGUUGGAGUCGGACCUAAACAUAUUUUUAAAACAGUGUCCAGUGCCCAUGAUGAUUUUUGUGAUCUGAGUUGGGAUGAUAUCACCGCUGAAGACGAUUUUGGCAGCCUGUGGUCCACAGCUUCCUCCUUCAUAUUCCUUUUCAUAUUCUCUCUCUUCUAUAGCAUUAUUAUCAGCCUUCUUAAGAUAAAGAGAUCAUAACGAAUGGGAUGGAAUGGGUGCGCUUCAUUUCUACGCUAUUUUUAAAAUGUUUUUCAUUUUCUUUUUAUGCACAUAAUCAUUUAUUUGUUAUAUUAAAUGCCUGUCAUAUAUAAAUAGUCAAUUAACACAUCUGUAAAAUGUGUAAAAUAGAUCAAUAAAAUGAAACUGCAUAUUA